RNAcentral lists this ribosomal RNA (497 nucleotides) under uncultured bacterium. RNAcentral's name for it is "partial 16S ribosomal RNA". It matches the Rfam family "Bacterial small subunit ribosomal RNA", at positions 28 to 507 of the family's 1533-position model. The record is from RNAcentral.
GAUGAACGCUGGCGGCGUGCCUAAUACAUGCAAGUCGAGCGAACGGACGAGAAGCUUGCUUCUCUGAUGUUAGCGGCGGAAGGGUGAGUAACACGUGGAUAACCUACCUAUAAGACUGGGAUAACUUAGGGAAACCGGAGCUAAUAACGGAUGAUAUUUUGAACCGCAUGGUUCAAAAGUGAAAGACGGUCUUGCUGUCACUUAUAGAUGGAUCCGCGCUGCAUUAGCUAGUUGGUAAGGUAACGGCUUACCAAGGCAACGAUGCAUAGCCGACCUGAGAGGGUGAUCGGCCACACUGGAACUGAGACACGGUCCAGACUCCUACGGGAGGCAGCAGUAGGGAAUCUUCCGCAAUGGGCGAAAGCCUGACGGAGCAACGCCGCGUGAGUGAUGAAGGUCUUCGGAUCGUAAAACUCUGUUAUUAGGGAAGAACAUAUGUGUAAGUAACUGUGCACAUCUUGACGGUACCUAAUCAGAAAGCCACGGCUAACUACGUG